AUUGAACGCUGGCGGCAGGCCUAACACAUGCAAGUCGAGCGGCAGCACGGGUACUUGUACCUGGUGGCGAGCGGCGGACGGGUGAGUAAUGCCUAGGAAUCUGCCUGGUAGUGGGGGAUAACGCUCGGAAACGGACGCUAAUACCGCAUACGUCCUACGGGAGAAAGCAGGGGACCUUCGGGCCUUGCGCUAUCAGAUGAG
RNAcentral lists this ribosomal RNA (201 nucleotides) under uncultured Pseudomonas sp. Its description in RNAcentral is "partial 16S ribosomal RNA". It matches the Rfam family "Bacterial small subunit ribosomal RNA", at positions 30 to 229 of the family's 1533-position model. The record is from RNAcentral. RNAcentral also lists the same sequence under 1 other name. Lineage: Bacteria; Pseudomonadati; Pseudomonadota; Gammaproteobacteria; Pseudomonadales; Pseudomonadaceae.